RNAcentral lists this unclassified non-coding RNA (314 nucleotides) under plant metagenome. RNAcentral's name for it is "partial contains 5.8S ribosomal RNA, internal transcribed spacer 2, and large subunit ribosomal RNA". The stretch from base 1 to 105 matches the Rfam family "5.8S ribosomal RNA", at positions 50 to 154 of the family's 154-position model. The record is from RNAcentral.
GAAACGCGAUAGUUAAUGUGAAUUGCAGAAUUCAGUGAAUCAUCGAGUCUUUGAACGCACAUUGCGCCCAUAGGUAUUCCUUUGGGCAUGUCUGUUUGAGCGUCAUUACAACCCUCAGCUAACCGCUGGUUUUGAACCUGAACGGGUGACACCGCGCCGGUUUUAAAGUUGUAAGCUCUGCUGGCCGCUCUGCCCAACCAGAACAUAGUAAGCACUACUUGUCCGGGUGAAGCUGAACGGUACGUCCUGAACAAAACCUACCCACUCUCAAGGUUUGACCUCAGAUCAGACAAGGAUACCCGCUGAACUUAAGC